GCAUCGGUGGUUCAGCGGUAGAAUGCUCGCCUGCCACGCGGGCGGCCCAGGUUCGAUUCCCGGCCGAUGCA
This 71-nucleotide transfer RNA is filed under the name Cordylochernes scorpioides. Its description in RNAcentral is "tRNA-Gly". It matches the Rfam family "tRNA". Rfam says of the family: Transfer RNA (tRNA) molecules are approximately 80 nucleotides in length. Their secondary structure includes four short double-helical elements and three loops (D, anti-codon, and T loops). Further hydrogen bonds mediate the characteristic L-shaped molecular structure. tRNAs have two regions of fundamental functional importance: the anti-codon, which is responsible for specific mRNA codon recognition, and the 3' end, to which the tRNAs corresponding amino acid is attached (by aminoacyl-tRNA synthetases). tRNAs cope with the degeneracy of the genetic code in two manners: having more than one tRNA (with a specific anti-codon) for a particular amino acid; and 'wobble' base-pairing, i.e. permitting non-standard base-pairing at the 3rd anti-codon position. The record is from RNAcentral. Lineage: Eukaryota; Metazoa; Arthropoda; Arachnida; Pseudoscorpiones; Chernetidae.